AGAGAUUAUUCCAGUUUCACUUGAGACUUCGUGUGAGCCCCCGGACGAAGCCGAGCAGGCUAUGUGCAGCGGACAUGUGUGGAGUUAUUGAUGGUAGAACAGUGGUGUGGUUAGGCGAUGUGAAAACAGGCUUCACGCCUGUGAGUGGGUGACAGUUGCUGUUACUGGAGGAGGCACUAAUCUUUAGGAUUUGCAUCAACAUUUUAUCUCUCUGGUGGAUACAAGGAGACCAGCGGAACCACCUGAACAUGUGGGACCUAAACAGGUACUCCAGAGACGGAAAUGAUGAGCUCUGUUGCUCUUCACUGACACAACAUGUAACUUCAAUCAUGUUGUAGAAGCAAUCACUUCACAGAAGAA
Colossoma macropomum (tambaqui) is the source of this 360-nucleotide long non-coding RNA. RefSeq lists it as uncharacterized. The transcript is spliced from 3 exons. NCBI's taxonomy places the organism in Eukaryota, Metazoa, Chordata, Actinopteri, Characiformes, Serrasalmidae. The record is from RefSeq and is a predicted model, not a curated record.